UCGUCCCUGUAUGGGGUGGGUGAAGCACAACAUAGGUUUUUUUCUUUCUCUUCUCUUUCCUUGUCAGUUUUCUUCUACUAUAUUCUCGCACAAUAGAUCUUGUGUAGUCAAAUACCAUUUGUAUGGCCAAAUUAUCUUUUCGUGGCUCUAUUUCUGAAAGGGCGUCAGAAUUGGGUAACUUGUCCCGGUUUUUUUGGGGCUGAUGAAAAAUAUAUCAUGAUAUUCACUCUGGUCAUNNNNNNNNNNNNNNNNNNNNNNNNNNNNNNNNNNNNNNNNNNNNNNNNNNNNNNNNNNNNNNNNNNNNNNNNNNNNNNNNNNNNNNNNNNNNNNNNNNNNNNNNNNNNNNNNNNNNNNNNNNNNNNNNNAUAUUCACUCUGGUCAUCACAAUUGGCUUUCAUUCGGCCCGCUUCAUGCCAAGCCGGUCCAACGACAAUUGAGUUUUUCCACAACUAAAAGACAUGUGGUUCUACGCUCCAUACACGUGUGUAUGAAAAAUGGCACUAUUUUUUAAAAGGAUAGCUCACUGUGUCCCAUAGAUAUAGAAACUCGGCGUGUUAGGAGGUCUGGCCUUGCAAACGAUUAAAUAUAUGGUGACACAUCUAUAGCCACGGACAUCACGCAACAUACAACCGAGGACGUGCUAUUUUUUGUUGCUAGGACAAUGCGUGCUAGAUUAGGUGUUAAAAGCUUCAUCUUACUUCCACUUUAGAUUGUUUAGUUUGUGUUACAAAAACAUUCAUCUAUUCCACAGCCUCGUCUAUCAAUUCUAAUAAUUACACUUGCAUAUUACCGCCAAACUUAUCAUAGGAUUCACUCCGGUCGUCAUAGUUGCUUCCAUUCAAUCCGCUUCAUACCAGGUUGGUACAACGACAUUUGAGUUUUUCCACAACCGGAAGACAUGUGAUUCUACGCUUCAUACAUGUGUGUAUGAAACAUGGCACUCUUUACAAAAGGAUAGCUCACUAUGUCUAGUAGAUAUAGAAACUUGGCGUGUUAGGAGAUCUGAACUUGCAAACGAAAACAUAUAGGGUGACUCAGCUAUAGCCAUGGACAUCACGCAACAUACAAUGGAGGACGUGCUAUUUUUUGUUGCUAGGACAAUGCGUGCUAGAUUUGGUGUUAAAAAGUUCAUCUUACUUUCAUUUCAGAUACUUCAGUUUGUGUUUAAAAAGCAUCCAUCUAUUUUAGAGCCUCAUCUAUUAAUUCUCAUCAAUACACUUCAUAUUACCGCCACACUUAACAUAAAAUUCACUCCAAUUGUCAUAGUUGGCUUCCACUCAGUCCGCUUCAUGCCAAGUCAGUUAAAGGACUAUUGAGUUUUUGAAAACUGCAAGACAUGUGGUUCUACGCUCCAUACAUGUGUGUAUGAAUAAUGGCAUUAUUUUCCAAAAGGUUAGCUCAAUAUGUCCAGUAGAUAUAGAAACUUAGCGUGUUAGGAGAUCUGACCUUGCAAACAACAAAAUAUAUGGCAACACAUCUAUAGCCGUGGACAUCACGCAACAUACAAUGUAGGACGUGCUUUUUUUGUCGCCGGGACAAUGCGUGCUAGAUAAGGUGUUAUAAGCUUCAUCUUACUUUCACUUCAUAUUCUUCAGUUUAUGUUAAAAGGCAUCCAUCUAUUCUAGAGCCCCAUCUAUCAAUUCUAAUCAAUAUACUUUCAUUUACCGCCACAUUUUAACAUAAAAUUUAGUCUGAUCGUCAUACUUGGCUUCCAUUCGGUCGCUUCAUGCCAAGUUGGUUCAAAUACAAUUGAGUUUUUCAACAACUGGAAUACAUGUGGUUCUACGCUCCAUACACGUCUGUAUGAACCAUGGCACUAUUUCCCAAAAGGAUACCUCACUAUGUCUAGUAGAUAUAGAAACUAGGCACGUUAGGGGAUCUGACCUUGCAAACAACAAAAUAUAUGGCCACAAAGCUAUAUCCAUGGACAUCACGCAACUUUCAAUCGAGGACGUGCUAUUUUUUGUUGCUGGGACAAUGCGUUCUAGAUUAGGUGUUAUAAACUUCAUCUUACUUUCACUUCACAUACUUCAAUUUGUGUUAAAAAAAUCCAUCUAUUCAUGAGACCCAUCUAUUAAUUCUCCUCAAUACACUUUCAUAUUACCGCCACACUUAACAUAAAAUUUACUCUGGUCGUCAUAGUUGGCUUCCAUUUGGUCCACUUUGCCAAGUCGGUUCAAGGACAAUUUAGUUUUCUAACAACUGGAAGACAUGUGGUUCUAUGCUCCAUACACGUGUGUAUGAACCAUGGCACUAUUUUCCAAAAUAAUAGCUCACUAUGUCCAGUAGAUAUAGAAAGUUGGUGUGUUAGGAGAUCUCACCUUGCAAACAACAAAAAAUAUGGAGACACGGUUAUAGCCAUGCACAUCACGCAACAUAGAAUCAAGAACGUGAUGUUUUUUGUCGCCAUGACAAUGCGUGCUAGAUUAGGUGUUAAAAGCUUCAUCUUACUUCCACUUCAGAUUCUUUAGUUUGUGUUGAAAAACAUCCAUCUAUUCUAGAGCCCCAUCUAUCAAUUCUAAUCAAUAUACUUUCAUAUUACUGCCACACUUAUAAUAAGAUUCACUCUUAUCGACAUAGUUGGCUUCCAUUCAAUCCACUUCAUAACAAGUUGGUACAACGAAACUUGAGUCUUUCCAGAACUGGAAUACAUGUGAUUCUACGCUCCGUACAUGUGUGUAUGAAACAUGCACUAAUUCCAAAAUGAUAGCUCACUAUGUCCACUAGAUAUAGAAACUUGGCGUGUUAGGAGAUCUGACCUUGGAAACGAAAACAUAUAUUGUGACACAACUAUAGCCAUGAACUUCACGCAACAUACAAUGGAUGACGUGCUAUUUUUUUGCUAGAACAAUGCGUCCUAGAUUUGGUGUUAGAAAGUUCAUCUUACUUUCACUUCAGAUACUUGAGUUUGUGUUAAAAAGCAUCCAUCUAUUCUAGAUCCCCAUCUAUUAAUUCUCAUCAAUACACUUUCAUAUUACCGCCACACUUAACACAAAAUUUAUUCUGAUCCCCAUAGCUGGCUUCCAUUCAGUCUGCUUCAUGCCAAGUCGAUUCAAGGACACUUGAGUUUUUCAACAAGUGGAAUACAUGUGGUUCUACGCUCGAUACACGUGUGUAUGAAUCAUGGUACUAUUUUCCAAAGGAUAGCUCACCAUAUCCAGUAGAUAUAGAAACUUGGCUUGUUAGGAGAUCUGACCUUGCAAACAACAAGAUAUAUGGCGACACAACUAUAGCCAUGGACAUCAUGCAACAUACAAUUGAGGACGUGCUAUUUUUUGUCGCUAGGACAAUGCGUGCUAGAUUAGGUGUUAAUGUUGGAAUUAUGCCCUAGAGGCAAUGAUAAAUAUAGUUAUUAUUAUAAUUCCUGUAUCAAUAUAAUCGUUUAUUAUCCN
Molecule: long non-coding RNA, 3392 nt
Filed under: Hordeum vulgare
Lineage: Eukaryota; Viridiplantae; Streptophyta; Magnoliopsida; Poales; Poaceae
Description: long non-coding RNA (HVUL_LNC017898)
Source: RNAcentral